CAAAGACUAGAUAGCUGUAGGUGCAUAAAUGAAUUAUAUUAUUUGAAAUGCACAAUAAUCCUAUUUGGUAAAUAUUAACACCCCAAUUUACAAGUUGAAAAAUUGAGACAGGACAGUUUUAGUGAUUUACUGAUGAUCAUAAGUAGCAGAGCUGAGCUUUAAACUUGUUAAAGCACACAGAGUCGUAACCACUACUCUACAUUGCCUGGAAGUAAGUAGUCACUUCUUUUGAUUUUCUUGAGAAAAUAGAUUAGAAAAUGGCUCAGUUGUUCUGUUUCCUGCAGCAAGGAUUUGGUAGAAGACUUUCAUGUUGAUUCCUCUGUAUGCUCCCUUGUCUUUGGACUUCAACACCUUUUCACAUAUCUAUGACCUGCCCCCUCCAAAGUUAUAUCCAUGGCUAGUGUUGCAAGCCAGUUUGGUUUUUCUCUCGGCUAUUGUGACCCCUGUUCAAAUACUCCAGACCUUGUAGACUGGGGAAGAAGGAAUCUGUGGGUUUAUUCUGGUCUUGUGUCAUACUUCAGACAUCCGGCAACUUGUGGAGAAAAGUGGGAAAUAAGAAUGGAAGAGUUGCAACCAAGAGGUCACCUUCUCUGCUCAAGGGUCUCUUUUCCACAUUUGACAUGGCAGCUGUAGUCUUUACCCAGCCCAACUGGUGGGUAAAGACUUUACAGGGCCCCUCUAACUGUGCAAUAGGGACUCCUAUUGCAAAUGAAAAUUGAGUAAGCAUCACUUUGGGUUUCCAGUUAGAUAUGUACUGUGCUGCCCGGCAUAUCUCCCAGGCAUAUCUCCCAGGUCUGAUGAGACUGAGAGGAAGUUCCCAAUUGACCCACAGCCUACACUUAUUUAAGAUUUUGCCUGUCUAAUUAGGGAAGGCUGGUGGAGUUUCACCACAGAGCCUCUGAGGCAAACCAUGACUUUUCAUGCAGGCAGUACAUCAUCAGGAUAGUCCUCAUCUUUGAUUCAGUUUCAUUUGCAGAAAUAUCCAAAAGUUUCAGGUGUGAAUCUAGAGUAUCUACUAUCCAGCAAAUAAUAUAGUUUGUCCUCUUUUUUUUUUUUAAUUCCGCUUUAAUAGGAAUCAAGAAAAGUUGUCUAGAAGAGUUAGAUACAUUUACUCAAAUUCGCUCUUUUACUCAGAAUUCUAAGUUACCAUUAGGUGAAAAUUACACUAUAACUUUUGAAAUUUUCCAGAUGCGGUGUUCUCAAGUUUCCAGUUAAUAGUUGCAUCCAUGUGAUGAGAGAGGACUUUGAGUUUUGGCAAGGCCCUUGCAAACACUGUUCAUAGAACUCCUGUAAAUUCAACAGAAGGCAUGAUUAGGAGGGUUUACUCCUGGCAGAUGUGGGGUCUUAGCAGAAGCACAGAAGGAAGAAGCUAGCUUCAACUGUCUGAAACUGGCUGUGUUGGAAAGGCUGUGCUGAGAUGAGCAAUCUAUUUAGAAUGACUGCUGCUCAUCUUUUUAACAAGAUAAUCAUCUGACAGCAACAUGGAAAAGCAGAUGUAGCAUUUUAAGGGAUAUACGGCUUUUUGAACUCCACAUGCUUUCAAACUCUGAUAUUAUUUCCAAUGAACCCUAAAGUCAAAGGAAUAAUCACUUUGAAAUUCUUGCACAAUGGGAAGCCCUGAAGGAAGCUGAACAUCUGAUUUUCACUAAAGGAGAAUCCUGAAAGCAAAGCAUCCUAUAAAUUGGAAUUUUUGCUUCCUCUGUUGUCUUCCAUAGGGUCUCUUGCCGCUUUGCUAAAUAUCAAAGAUAUUUAUGCUUAAACAAAUGUUGUCUCCCUCUCACUGCAUUCCCUCCUUCUGGCAGAGAAGUCAUCACACUGAAUCGGUGGCUCUUUCCCAUGGCAACAGACUGUGAUGUCAGAAAUGUGGUGCCAAGCAAUUAGAUUUUGUAGGUGCCACAGUUGGAAACAUGAAACUCCAAGGAUGAUGGUGAGACAGAGCAGUUGUUGUAGAAGAAAAAACUCAGGAAGGACUGAGUGUCUAAUGUGUUCUCUCAAAGGCCUGUUGCUGAAGGAGGGUGGCAGCAAAUGAAGUCGGAGAGGGGAAGAGGGAUACAGUGUUCAAGACAAGAUUUCAAAGGAGAAGCAAGUUGAUGAUGGAGAGUUGCAAAAGGCCACGUCCAGAUGGCUGGCACUCUGCCACGUGCCGUGGCUUUGAUGCUUUACAGGUGUUCUCUAAGGCGUCGAAGGCGGAAGCUCCAGGGACCUGCUGUCUGUCAUUGAAACAGCCAGAGGACUCAGGACCCAGAGAAAGAGCAAACUCCCUCUCCUUUCAUUCCCUUCCGCUCUUGUAGGAAUGUGGGAACUUUCACAGUUUUGCUGUUUUCAAGAAAACGGCACCUUGACAACAUGACCUUUGAGACCUACAAGCUGAGGGAGCUGUAGGGAGAAGGAUGAUCUGAGAUGGGCAACAAAAACCUUCCAAGAGGAGGCAAUGGGUGAGGACCCUUCAUGUUGCCAAUAGGAGCGAUCUGGGAAUAUUUUGAAAUGGACUUUUAAAAAAGCUGAGUCUGUUUUUUGGAGGUUCUUUGUCAAAUACACAAGAGAAUGAAACCCAUACCUGUGAAAAAUCAUAGAUGAAGUUUUAAAAUACACAUUUCAGUGAUACAGUAUGGAUAAAUUUGGACUGCAUAUGGCUUCUUAUGUAAAAGAAAAUUUCUUCUCCUUUUAGUAACACAUUGUCGGCUGCCUGUGCUUUGCACCUUCUGCCAUAAGCUCCUUAAAACAAGCUGCUGCAAUUCAAGAACUAGCCCUAGUAAUUAAGAUCAAAUGAGCCAGAUGAAGAAAAUGAGCUGGGUGAAACACAUGCCAGUGGAACCCAGCCUUUUCAUAUUUAAAAAGAGAGCCAGAAAAGAAAGAAAAACAGCUAUUUGUCGAUGGACUAUGUGGAGGAUUUAGAUGCAGUCUCUACUCAGGAUUAUUGUUAACAUUUAUACGUAUAUUUUAAAUGAUUCUGGGCUUGAUUGAUUAGCUCUUGUGAAAUACAGUGGAUGUGGGCCGGGCAUGGUGGCUCACGCCUGUAAUCCCAGCACUUUGG
RNAcentral lists this long non-coding RNA (3034 nucleotides) under Homo sapiens (human). RNAcentral's name for it is "HSALNT0159430". Lineage: Eukaryota; Metazoa; Chordata; Mammalia; Primates; Hominidae. The record is from RNAcentral.